RNAcentral lists this ribosomal RNA (468 nucleotides) under uncultured bacterium. Its description in RNAcentral is "partial 16S ribosomal RNA". It matches the Rfam family "Bacterial small subunit ribosomal RNA", at positions 28 to 507 of the family's 1533-position model. The record is from RNAcentral.
GACGAACGCUGGCGGCGUGCUUAACACAUGCAAGUCGAACGGAAAGGCCCUGCUUUUGUGGGGUGCUCGAGUGGCGAACGGGUGAGUAACACGUGAGUAACCUGCCCUUGACUUUGGGAUAACUUCAGGAAACUGGGUCUAAUACCGGAUAGGAGCUCCUGCUGCAUGGUGGGGGUUGGAAAGUUUCGGCGGUUGGGGAUGGACUCGCGGCUUAUCAGCUUGUUGGUGGGGUAGUGGCUUACCAAGGCUUUGACGGGUAGCCGGCCUGAGAGGGUGAGCGGCAACAUUGGGCCUGAGAUACGGCCCAGACUGCUACGGGGGGCAGCAGUGGGGAAUAUUGCACAAUGGGCGGAAGCCUGAUGCAGCAACGCCGCGUGCGGGAUGACGGCCUUCGGGUUGUAAACCGCUUUCGCCUGUGACGAAGCGUGAGUGACGGUAAUGGGUAAAGAAGCACCGGCUAACUACGUG